GAACGUACGCUGGCGGCACGCCUAACACAUGCAAGUCGAACGAAGUAGCAAUACUUAGUGGCAGACGGGUGAGUAACAUGUAGGUAUCUGCCCUUUGGCCUGGAAUAACACGAGGAAACUUGUGCUAAUACCGGAUAAGUCUUUACAGAGAAAGCUUUAUGCACCAUUGGAUGAGCCUGCACUUGAUUAGUUUGUUGGUGGGGUAAUGGCCUACCAAGACUGUGAUCAAUAGCUGAUUUGAGAGGAUGAUCAGCCACAUUGGGACUGAGACACGGCCCAAACUCCUACGGGAGGCAGCAGUGGGGAAUCUUGCACAAUGGAGGAAACUCUGAUGCAGCGAUGCCGCGUGAGUGAAGAAGGCCUUUGGGUUGUAAAGCUCUUUCGUCGGGGAAGAAAAUGACUGUACCCGAAUAAGAAGGUCCGGCUAACUUCGUGCCAGCAGCCGCGGUAAUACGAAGGGACCUAGCGUAGUUCGGAAUUACUGGGCUUAAAGAGUUCGUAGGUGGUUGAAAAAGUUAGUGGUGAAAUCCCAGAGCUUAACUCUGGAACUGCCAUUAAAACUUUUUAGCUAGAGUAUGAUAGAGGAAAGCAGAAUUUCUAGUGUAGAGGUGAAAUUCGUAGAUAUUAGAAAGAAUACCAAUUGCGAAGGCAGCUUUCUGGAUCAUUACUGACACUGAGGAACGAAAGCAUGGGUAGCGAAGAGGAUUAGAUACCCUCGUAGUCCAUGCCGUAAACGAUGUGUGUUAGACGUUGGAAAUUUAUUUUCAGUGUCGCAGCGAAAGCGAUAAACACACCGCCUGGGGAGUACGACCGCAAGGUUAAAACUCAAAUGAAUUGACGGGGACCCGCACAAGUAGUGGAGCAUGUGGUUUAAUUCGAAGAUACGCGCAGAACCUUACCAACACUUGACAUGUUCGUCGCGACUCUAAGAGAUUAGAGUUUUCGGUUCGGCCGGACGAAACACAGGUGCUGCAUGGCUGUCGUCAGCUCGUGUCGUGAGAUGUUGGGUUAAGUCCCGCAACGAGCGCAACCCUCACUUUUAGUUGCCAUCAUUAAGUUGGGCACUCUGAAAGAACUGCCAGUGAUAAGCUGGAGGAAGGUGGGGAUGACGUCAAGUCCUCAUGGCCCUUACGUGUUGGGCUACACACGUGCUACAAUGGUAUCUACAACAGGAAGCAAGACUGCGAAGUUAAGCAAAUCCCUAAAAGAUACCUCAGUUCGGAUUGCACUCUGCAACUCGAGUGCAUGAAGCUGGAAUUACUAGUAAUCGUGGAUCAGCGUGCCACGGUGAAUGCGUUCCCGGGUCUUGUACACACCGC
Molecule: ribosomal RNA, 1319 nt
Filed under: uncultured Alphaproteobacteria bacterium
Lineage: Bacteria; Pseudomonadati; Pseudomonadota; Alphaproteobacteria
Description: bacterial SSU rRNA
Rfam family: Bacterial small subunit ribosomal RNA
Source: RNAcentral